AUUGAACGCUGGCGGUAGGCUUAACACAUGCAAGUCGAGCGGGGGAAGGUAGCUUGCUACCGGACCUAGCGGCGGACGGGUGAGUAAUGCUUAGGAAUCUGCCUAUUAGUGGGGGACAACAUCUCGAAAGGGAUGCUAAUACCGCAUACGUCCUACGGGAGAAAGCAGGGGAUCUUCGGACCUUGCGCUAAUAGAUGAGCCUAAGUCGGAUUAGCUAGUGGGUGGGGUAAAGGCCUACCAAGGCGACGAUCUGUAGCGGGGCUGAGAGGAUGAUCCGCCACACUGGGACUGAGACACGGCCCAGACUCCUACGGGAGGCAGCAGUGGGGAAUAUUGGACAAUGGGGGGAACCCUGAUCCAGCCAUGCCGCGUGUGUGAAGAAGGCCUUAUGGUUGUAAAGCACUUUAAGCGAGGAGGAGGCUACUUUAGUUAAUACCUAGAGAUAGUGGACGUUACUCGCAGAAUAAGCACCGGCUAACUCUGUGCCAGCCGCCGCCGUAA
RNAcentral lists this ribosomal RNA (501 nucleotides) under uncultured bacterium. Its description in RNAcentral is "partial 16S ribosomal RNA". It matches the Rfam family "Bacterial small subunit ribosomal RNA", at positions 30 to 523 of the family's 1533-position model. The record is from RNAcentral.